CCCUUGUACACACCGCCCGUCACGCCAUGGAAGCUGGGGGGACCUGAAGCCGGUGGGCUAACCCGCAAGGGGGGCAGCCGUCAAAGGUCAAUUCAGUGACUGGGGCGAAGUCGUAACAAGGUACCC
RNAcentral lists this ribosomal RNA (126 nucleotides) under uncultured bacterium. RNAcentral's name for it is "partial 16S ribosomal RNA". It matches the Rfam family "Bacterial small subunit ribosomal RNA", at positions 1378 to 1501 of the family's 1533-position model. The record is from RNAcentral.